UGAAGUUAAAGGCUGUGGNUUAACCAUAGUACGCUUUGGAAACUGUUUAACUUGAGUGCAAGAGGGGAGAGUGGAAUUCCAUGUGUAGCGGUGAAAUGCGUAGAUAUAUGGAGGAACACCGGUGGCGAAAGCGGCUCUCUGGCUUGUAACUGACGCUGAGGCUCGAAAGCGUGGGGAGCAANCAGGAUUAGAUACCCUGGUAGUNCACGCCGUAAACGAUGAGUGCUAGGUGUUAGACCCUUUCCGGGGUUUAGUGCCGUAGCUAACGCAUUAAGCACUCCGCCUGGGGAGUACGACCGCAAGAUUGAAAUUCAAAGGAAUUGACGGGGGCCCGCACAAGCGGUGGAGCAUGUGGUUUAAUUCGAAGCAACGCGAAGAACCUUACCAGGUCUUGACAUCCCUUUGACCGCUCUAGAGAUAGAGUUUUCCUUCGGGACAGAGGUGACAGGUGGUGCAUGGUUGUUGUCAGCUCGUGUCGUGAGAUGUUGGUUAAGUCCCGCAACGAGCGCAACCCCUAUUGUUAGUUGCCAUCAUUUAGUUGGGCACUCUAGCGAGACUGCCGGUAAUAAACCGGAGGAAGGUGGGGAUGACGUCAAAUCAUCAUGCCCCUUAUGACCUGGGCUACACACGUGCUACAAUGGCUGGUACAACGAGUCGCAAGCCGGUGACGGCAAGCUAAUCUCUUAAAGCCAGUCUCAGUUCGGAUUGUAGGCUGCAACUCGCCUACAUGAAGUCGGAAUCGCUAGUAAUCGCGGAUCAGCACGCCGCGGUGAAUACGUUCCCGGGCCUUGUACACACCGCCCGUCACACCACGAGAGUUUGUAACACCCGAAGUCGG
Molecule: ribosomal RNA, 838 nt
Filed under: uncultured bacterium
Lineage: Bacteria
Description: bacterial SSU rRNA
Rfam family: Bacterial small subunit ribosomal RNA
Source: RNAcentral